UGAGGAAUCUGUCCAUCGGCGGGGGAUAGCCGGCCCAACGGCCGGGUAAUACCGCGUACGACCACAUGGGGACAUCCCUGAGUGGUGAAAGCAGCAAUGCGCCGAUGGAGUGCCUCGCGGCCUAUCAGCUAGUUGGUGAGGUAACGGCUCACCAAGGCAACGAUGCGUAGCCGACCUGAGAGGGUGAUCGGCCACAUUGGAACUGAGACACGGUCCAGAUCCGUACGGGG
This 230-nucleotide ribosomal RNA is filed under the name uncultured bacterium. RNAcentral describes it as "partial 16S ribosomal RNA". It matches the Rfam family "Bacterial small subunit ribosomal RNA", at positions 118 to 346 of the family's 1533-position model. The record is from RNAcentral.